This 455-nucleotide ribosomal RNA is filed under the name uncultured cyanobacterium. RNAcentral describes it as "bacterial SSU rRNA". It matches the Rfam family "Bacterial small subunit ribosomal RNA", at positions 341 to 810 of the family's 1533-position model. The record is from RNAcentral. Lineage: Bacteria; Bacillati; Cyanobacteriota.
AUUGUAUCCACGAUUGGGGAAUUUUCCGCAAUGGGCGAAAGCCUGACGGAGCAAUACCGCGUGAGGGAGGAAGGCUCUUGGGUUGUAAACCUCUUUUCUCAGGGAAGAGAAAAAUGACGGUACCUGAGGAAUAAGCAUCGGCUAACUCCGUGCCAGCAGCCGCGGUAAUACGGAGGAUGCAAGCGUUAUCCGGAAUGAUUGGGCGUAAAGCGUCCGCAGGUGGCUAUGUAAGUCUGCUGUUAAAGAAUCUGGCUCAACCAGAUAAAGGCAGUGGAAACUACAUGGCUAGAGUGCGUUCGGGGCAGAGGGAAUUCCUGGUGUAGCGGUGAAAUGCGUAGAGAUCAGGAAGAACACCGGUGGCGAAAGCGCUCUGCUAGGCCGCAACUGACACUGAGGGACGAAAGCUAGGGGAGCGAAUGGGAUUAGAUACCCCAGUAGUCAAUCGUGGAUACAAU